ACCAACAGGGAUUGUCUUAGUAACGGCGAGUGAAGCGACAAAAGCUCAAAUUUGAAAUCUGGCGCCUUCGGUGUCCGAGUUGUAAUUUGAAGAAGGUAACUUUGGUUUUGGCUCUUGUCUAUGUUCCUUGGAACAGGACGUCACAGAGGGUGAGAAUCCCGUGCGAUGAGAUGCCCAAUUCCAUGUAAAGUGCUUUCGAAGAGUCGAGUUGUUUGGGAAUGCAGCUCUAAGUGGGUGGUAAAUUCCAUCUAAAGCUAAAUAUUGGCGAGAGACCGAUAGCGAACAAGUACAGUGAUGGAAAGAUGAAAAGAACUUUGAAAAGAGAGUGAAAAAGUACGUGAAAUUGUUGAAAGGGAAGGGUUUGAGAUCAGACUUGGUAUUUUGUAUGUUUUACUCUCGGGUGAGGCCUCUGCAGUUUACUGGGCCAGCAUCAGUUUGGAUGGUAGGAUAAUGACAUUGGAAUGUGGCUCUU
RNAcentral lists this ribosomal RNA (472 nucleotides) under Scheffersomyces coipomensis. Its description in RNAcentral is "eukaryotic LSU rRNA". It matches the Rfam family "Eukaryotic large subunit ribosomal RNA", at positions 64 to 543 of the family's 3401-position model. Lineage: Eukaryota; Fungi; Ascomycota; Pichiomycetes; Serinales; Debaryomycetaceae. The record is from RNAcentral.